UAUGGUUAAGGGUUGUAGAAGUAUGCUUUACAAGCCUUCCACUUGAAUAGUCUUGCAGUAAAAGAUGAUGGGACCAGCAGUCUUCGGAUAUUUUUUAUGCUUUCUUGCGAUUCUUGUGAUCCAGCCAGCAUUUCAUCCAAAUCUUCUGUUUGUUGAAGGCACAGAAAACCGUUAAGGAAGAAAUUUCCUCAUGUCAGGAUUCAACUCCACUGAGGUUGCAGUUUAUUGAAGGUCAAUGUAAAUAUCUUACAGUCUCAAGGAGAAGAAAGAGGAUACUUCUCAGAUUUGACAUGUGAUCUGCUCUCUCCCAUUUGAUCUCCAUCCACUCAGAACAGUUAGAUCAGUUCUGAUUUCAUUGUUGAUCUCUUUUUUCCUCUUCUAGUACAUGGCUGUCUACUCGAUUAAAGCUUGGAAAGGAUGCAAUCUGUUGCUUCUUCCAAAUUCUUACUCAAUGGGUCGACCUUCAACCUCUCUCUCUCUCGGCCUGGUACAGCAAUCUGCAUUAAUCGCUGUCUUACUGUUUACCAAUUACUUAACCACUCAUUUGGAGCAGUUGUGGCUAUAAAUUAUGCGAGCUCUUAUAGGUGUUCCAUGGAUUGAAGACAAACAUAGGAUGUUUUUCUUGGACUACAGAAGCUUAGCAAAGGUGAUUGGCGUGGAAUAGCUCGCAAUUAUGUUAUAUCAAGGACACCUACUCUAGUGGCUAGCCAUGCUCAAAAAUAUUUCAUCAGGCAAACCAAUGUAUCUCAAGAGAAAGAGACAUUCCAGCCUGUUUGAUAUAUAGCAGAUGAAUCAGCCAACACUCCGAUGGUACCUCAUGACUUCUUAUCUGUCAACGACUCACAGGCUGAAACACAGAGCAAUCCUCCAUUGCCUGCUCAUCCUGCCCUGGACGAAGAAUGUGAAUCAAUGGAAUCUAUCAACUCCAGUGAUGGAGAUCCUAUUCCUCCGAAGACAGAGAGCUCACAACCUUGCUUCCCAGUUAUGCAAAUAAUUGUGUCACCAGAAUUACUCUUUACAUAUCAUUCUCAUCUAUUUUAUCGUAUAAUUUCAUAACUCACUCUAACAUUUUCAGUUUAUAGUUUAUACCCCCAAUACUAACACCUACGAUUAGCAGAGAUUUGGGAUAAAAAAGAUCUAAACUCUAGACGAUUCCAUGGGCUCCUUCAACUUUCAUGAUCAAAAACCCCCUAACAGAGAGAUCAGUGAGUGGCAGUGAGGCAUGGUGGUGAUUUUCGACGGUGACGCUGAUAUUGGGUUUGGUGUUGUUGGCACACAAGAAGCUCAUUGCAGAGAAGCUUGCAGAGGAAGGAGCCGAACAGAACGUCAAGUGGGAGGCCAAGAAGGAAAAAUACUUGGUAACAAGUCUAUCAUAUUGAACUGCAUUGUUCAAGAGCAACAGCUGCAUUGAGGCUGCACCAAUUAAGUGCUACUGCAUCUAAAGAUACAAUAAUCAUUGAUGUACUGUAAUAGAUAGCUAGUAGGGAUUAGCAAACAUUAAGAUACUUAGCAUUGUAUUAGGAAUAUUACUUGAUGUUUAAUGAUACAAUAAUCAUUGUUUAAUGAAUCAUAUUGGGACAAACAAAUUAAAUUCUAUGCAACACUUA
Molecule: long non-coding RNA, 1607 nt
Organism: Quercus robur (English oak)
Lineage: Eukaryota; Viridiplantae; Streptophyta; Magnoliopsida; Fagales; Fagaceae
Exons: 4
Source: RefSeq, a predicted model, not a curated record